GAUGAACGCUGGCGGCGUGCCUAAUACAUGCAAGUCGAGCGAACAGACGAGGAGCUUGCUCCUCUGACGUUAGCGGCGGAAGGGUGAGUAACACGUGGAUAACCUACCUAUAAGACUGGGAUAACUUCGGGAAACCGGAGCUAAUACCGGAUAAUAUAUUGAACCGCAUGGUUCAAUAGUGAAAGACGGUUUUGCUGUCACUUAUAGAUGGAUCCGCGCCGCAUUAGCUAGUUGGUAAGGUAACGGCUUACCAAGGCAACGAUGCGUAGCCGACCUGAGAGGGUGAUCGGCCACACUGGAACUGAGACACGGUCCAGACUCCUACGGGAUGCAGCAGUAGGGAAUCUUCCGCAAUGGGCGAAAGCCUGACGGAGCAACGCCGCGUGAGUGAUGAAGGUCUUCGGAUCGUAAAACUCUGUUAUUAGGGAAGAACAAAUGUGUAAGUAACUAUGCACGUCUUGACGGUACCUAAUCAGAAAGCCACGGCUAACUACGUG
Molecule: ribosomal RNA, 497 nt
Filed under: uncultured bacterium
Lineage: Bacteria
Description: partial 16S ribosomal RNA
Rfam family: Bacterial small subunit ribosomal RNA
Source: RNAcentral